RNAcentral lists this ribosomal RNA (29 nucleotides) under Cryptococcus neoformans. RNAcentral's name for it is "partial 18S ribosomal RNA". The record is from RNAcentral. Lineage: Eukaryota; Fungi; Basidiomycota; Tremellomycetes; Tremellales; Cryptococcaceae. RNAcentral also lists the same sequence under 2 other names.
UCCGUAGGUGAACCUGCGGAAGGAUCAGU